RNAcentral lists this ribosomal RNA (314 nucleotides) under uncultured bacterium. RNAcentral describes it as "partial 16S ribosomal RNA". It matches the Rfam family "Bacterial small subunit ribosomal RNA", at positions 495 to 809 of the family's 1533-position model. The record is from RNAcentral.
GUAUAAGAGACAGCAGUCGCCACGGUAAUACGGAGGGUGCAAGCGUUAAUCGGAAUUACUGGGCGUAAAGCGCACGCAGGCGGUCUGACAAGUCAGAUGUGAAAUCCCCGGGCUUAACCUGGGAACUGCAUUUGAAACUGUCAGGCUGGAGUCUUGUAGAGGGGGGUGGAAUUCCAGGUGUAGCGGUGAAAUGCGUAGAGAUCUGGAGGAAUACCGGUGGCGAAGGCGGCCCCCUGGACAAAGACUGACGCUCAGGUGCGAAAGCGUGGGGAGCAAACAGGAUUAGAUACCCCAGUAGUCCCUGUCUCUUAUAA